RNA transcript from Centropristis striata (black sea bass), 6009 nucleotides. It is a transcript of the gene named alsin-like, with no coding region annotated. The transcript is spliced from 42 exons. The record is from RefSeq and is a predicted model, not a curated record. NCBI's taxonomy places the organism in Eukaryota, Metazoa, Chordata, Actinopteri, Perciformes, Serranidae.
GUGUGGCGCCGCCGCAGUGUUUGUCCCUGCCCGGCUGCCAUCGGAGAGGUGGCUCCUACCACCGACAACACACAACUGUCAGAAACAACUUCUGCUUUCACUGCACUACUGCACUGAUGGGAAUAUAUUAAAACAAUGUCAUAGCUCAGUGUUUCUGCCCUUGCAGCUGCAAACAGUUCUCCGGAUCCACCAGACUCACCGCAGCACAAAUCUCAGCCACGGACUCCCGAGAUCACACUGACAGUUGAACCAGCCCCUGUAGCCAGAUGAAGGAAAGAGGAGUCAAAACAGGACAAAGGCUUCACAUUGUUUCUAAAUAAUGACUUACUGCUGGGAUUGAACAAAAGAGAAGAGCUUUGGAGAAAUGUUAAUAAAGAUGCCUUCACUGCCCUGUGGACUGGAGAGUCUGAAGUGAUGGAGAACAGAGAGGAGAGCCCUGCAGAUGAGAGGGCCCCCACACCCCCAGAGCGAGGACUGCUCCACAUCUGGCGGUCAGCGGGCCCCAGUGCACAGCUCUGUCCAGAGAGAGUGCUGCUGUCCAGGCCUGUACUGCAGGUUGCACUGGGAGAACACCAUGGCCUCCUGUUAAUGCAGGGGGGACAUGUGUUCUCUUUCGGAGAGCUGUUGUGGAGGGAUCAGAGCAUCCCGGUGUCUGCUCCGGUGCUGGAGGUCUCUCUGCUGGUGAGGACGGUGGUCCGUGUGGCUGCUGGUGGUUUCCACUGCGGAGCGUUGAGCGAGCAGGGCCAUGUCUACAUGUGGGGUGAGAACACUGCAGGACAGUGUGGGCUGACGGAGAGGGGCACAGUCUCAAACAUCACAGUUUCAGAGCCAUGUCCGGUCACUGUGGUGGACAGUGAGGUCGUUCCUCCAGCGGUGGUUCGAGUCGUGGAACUAGCUCUUGGACGGGAGCACAGCUUGGCUCUGUCUGCCCAGAAUGAGCUGUGGGCGUGGGGCAGCGGCUGCCAGCUUGGCCUGGUCACCACAACUUUCCCUGUGUGGAAACCACGGAAGGUGGAGCACUUGGCUAACAGACAUGUCAUUCAGGUGGCUUGUGGUGCUUACCACAGCUUGGCGGUAGUUCGCAGUUUACCUCCAAAGAAUACCCAGAAUACUUCUGAGAGGAGGGAGCGCGGUCAGUCACCUCACUAUUCAGUGGCAGAAAAGGAGGAUUCAGUUGAUGCCGGUCACUACUGUCCGCUGGGGGUGGAGCUGACUGAAGUCAUGACAAGCGAGCAGACCUCUCCAAGAAGACGAGGCCCGAGAGGAAGGCUCCAGCCUGGGGAAAGAACAAGUCUUCCAGUCGGGCACACUGAGACAGACGGCAGCCCCAAGUCUCACCCGCUGUCAGGGCGGAGUUCCAAUAAGAACUCUCCGUUCCACGAUGAAAAGGAGCUUCAGAACCUCCUCCAGAAACUCUCUAGUCACUCACUGGAGAUGCGCCACACCACCAGGCCAGGAGAUACUGACUCACUGAGCAGUUACACUUCAGAUGACAGUUGUGUUUCCUCAACUCCUUCUACGGAUCUGUUGACUUCCAGCUACAAAGAAGACUCGCCAAUUAAGAGUCAAACCAACAAUGGCGUGGCCGUGCAGUACUCCUCCUCCCCUGUGUGUUUGGAUGAAGUUCGGCUUUGUCUGGAGGCAGAGAAGCAGACUCUGCAGGGGCAGAAGAGCUCCAGUCUCACAAAUAUCAACCAGAAGGGGAAAGCAGCAGCAGCAGCAACCAGGAGACGCUCACUGCCUGGAACACCCACCCGUGGGUCUCCACGCAGAGGGCGGCCUUGUCCCUGCAGGCCACCCUCUGCUGGUCGCACCCAGGCUCGAGCUCUGGAGGAGGCUGGGGACGGGCUGCCGUCUCUGGAGACAGAAGUGUGGAGCUGGGGCCGCGGCUCUGAGGGCCAACUGGGCCACGGAGAUCAGCUGCCCAGACUCCAGCCGCUGUGUAUCAAGUCUUUGAUUGGAGAGGAGGUGAUCAAAGUCGCUGCUGGGUCACACCAUUCACUAGCUCUCACCGCUCACUGCCAGGUGUACUCGUGGGGCAGCAACAUGUGUGGACAGCUGGGUCAUGUCAACAGUCCCGUCACGGUGCCUAAACAGGCAAAGCUGUCUGAUGAUCUUCGUGUUUGGGGCGUAUCAGCCGGUCAGAGCCACUCCCUCCUCCUGGCUGAUGGAGACUGUGUCCAGCCGGUGCUGCUCUACUGCGGCCAGCAGCAAGAGACAACAUCAGUGCAGAGUGAGAGGUCAAACCAGGGUCAAAGGUCACCCAGCAGAGCAGAGAGUUAUACAGUCAGACCCACCCUGCUGCCCUUCUGCGUGGAGAUGGGUUACGUCAGCAGUGUGUGCAGCGGUGGGCAGAGCUGUGCAGUGUUAGUAGACCAGAACGUCAUGGGUUUUAUCUCAGCUAUCCAUGAGCUGGCCUCCAGAGAGAGACAGUUCUACUGCUGGCUGAGCAACGUCAGGAAGCUGCUGCUCACACCGCUACGGAACAGAGAGAGUCUGUGUCCGUCGUUAGGUGAGCCAUGCACUCAUCUCUUCUUCUCUCUCUAUGAGAGUUUUGUUCAUCUGAGUGUGCUGAUUGGGCGACACUCCACGUCUCUCAGCUACUUCCUGCAUGAUGUGCAGGGCUGUGAUGUCACUUGCCUUCCCCUGCUGACGCACACUGAGCACUUUCUGGACAUUUAUAAAGAGUAUUGUUCUUCAGUGGGUCACUUCCAGGUGAUGGGUGGAUUCCAAUCACUCCAUAAACUCUCAAUUGAGUGUUUGGGCUCUCAGCGGACCAAGCUCGCUCAGCUGUGUGUAUCGGAGCAGUCUGUCAGUGGUGAUGUUGACCUGGUGUCCUUGUUGUACUGGCCUCUGCAGCAGCUCCACCAGUACAGCAGAGUCCUGCUCAAACUGGCAGCCUGUUACGAUGUGUUAACUACAGAGUAUCAGUCCCUUCAUCAGGGCUGUGGUCAGUAUGACUCCCUGUCUUCAUCUUUGUUGAGGAGGAAGAAGGAGGCCGAAACCACCUUCCACUUCUGGAAGACCCACUCUGGAAAAGCUACUGAGGUCCUGCGUCUCCCACAGCGUCGUGUGGUGUGUGAAAGCAGCAACAGAUCUCUGACUCUGCAGAACGCUGGGCGGUUCUCCAACCACUGGUUCAUACUGUUCAAUGACACACUGGUGCACACACAGGGUGCCAUUCCCUCUCAGAGCCUUUUCGCCUCACAUCAUGUCUACCCUCUGACCUGUCUGUGGGUGAAACCAGUUACUGAAGACAGCAGCGGACUCUAUGCCAUCAAAAUUACAUGUCCAGAAGAGAGUUUCACCUUGGUGGCCUCGACACCACAAGAGAAGAACAAGUGGCUUCGAUCUCUUAACCAGGCGGUGGAUCAGAUGCUGGGUGGUGCAGGUCAGGGGUCAUCACCAGGGGUGACGGCAAUGUCUCGCACAGCCUCCUACACGUUCACUGGAGAAGGCCGGUUUAAAGACGCCCAGUACACCGGGGGCUGGCUGGCAGGACGGGUUCAUGGCAGAGGCACCAUGAAGUGGCCAGAUGGACAGACCUACAGCGGGAACUUUAAGAAUGGACAGGAGGACGGCUAUGGAGAGAUUAUAAUACCUAACAAAGUGCUGAACAGGGCAGACAGCUACCAAGGACAGUGGAAAGAUGGCAAGAUCCAUGGUUUUGGAAAGUACAAGUAUGCCAGUGGCGAGGUGUACGAGGGAUGUUUCUGUGACGGGCAGAGACAUGGGUAUGGCAUGCUGAGCUCCGGUAAGCUGGCCAAGAAGUCCUCCAGCGUUUUCAUUGGCCAGUGGGUCCACGACAGAAAGACAGGAUAUGGAGUCUACGAUGACAUCACCAGAGGUGAGAAGUACAUGGGACUGUGGUUGGAGGAGCAGCGGCAUGGCAGCGCUGUGGUUGUGACUCAGGUCGGCGUUUACUACGAAGGGACCUUCAGAGACAACAAGAUGUGUGGUCCAGGUCUGUUGGUGUCAGAUGACGACACAGCUUUACACGGAGAGUUCUCAGAUGACUGGACUGUCAACGGGAAGGGUGUUAUCUCCCUGCCUAACGGUGACUGGCUGGAGGGCCAGUUGACUGGAGAGUGGACCACAGGGCUGAAGGUGGUUGGAACGUACAUCAAACCAUCUGCAGAAGAACCUGAAAACAAAGAGAGAACCAGCCUGCUCAGGGUGGGUCAGUACGUGGUGCCUGCAGCUCAGAGGUGGCUCUGUGUGUUCGAUUCAUGUUGGAGUCGACUCGGCUGUGAAGUUGCAGGGAGAGGAGACAAAACUGCAGCCUGGGACAACAUCGCUGUUACUAUAACAACUGCACGACGACAAAGUCCAAAUCUCAGCAGGUCUCAGAGUAAAGUACUGGAGUGUUUGGAGUUUAUUCCUCAGCAUGGAGAACCAGUGACCACUGCAAACUAUGACAACAUACGAAGAUACCUCGGCAAGGCGUGUGAGACCCCUCACCACCCUCUGGGCUGGCUGGUGGAGACCUUGGUGACGGUGUACAGGAUGACUUACGUGGGUGUGGGAUCCAACCGCAGGCUGCUCAGGCAGGCUGUCCAGGAGGUUCAGGCCUACCUCACACAUUUCUACAGCAUCGUCAGGUUUCUUUUUCCGAGGUUACCAGAGGACGGCGGCAUCAUCCCAGACCCCCCUACCUCUCCAUCUAGAAGCAGACACAACUCUAACAUAGCAGAGCAAGGUGGUGUCCUAGUGGUGAGCUGCUCCUCUCUGCUCCUCCCUCUGCUGCUCCCUCGCCUCUACCCUCCUCUCUUCACCUUGUACUGCCUGCAGGAGGAGCAGGAGGAGACCCAGUACUGGGAGCGAAUCCUCCGACUCAACAAACAGCCCGACCAGUCGCUGCUCAGCUUCCUGGGAGUGCAUGAGAAGUUCUGGCCAGUUUGGAUGUCAAUUCUAGGAGAAAAAAAGCAGAUUGUGUCCAGCAGUAAAGACGCCUGCUUUGUGUCUGCCGUAGAAACACUCCAACAAAUCAGCACCACCUUCACUCCAUCAGACAAACUCCUCGUCAUCCAGAAGACAUUUGAGGAAUUGACUCAGGAAAUAAAACCGACGCAGGACGGCAACUUCCUGUGGUGCAUGGAUGACCUUCUCCCUCUCUUCCUCUACGUGGUACUCAGGGCAAGGAUCAGGAACCUGGGAGCUGAGGUCAGUCUGAUAGAAGAUUUAAUGGAUCCCAACAUUCAGCAUGGAGAGAUGGGACUGAUGUUCACCACACUGAAGCAAUGGAUAAUGCUCCUGGCACUAUAGUCCACCUUACUAAAAAGUCUCUGGUCCUGCCAUUGCUGUUCUUCCUCUGCAGUAUUUUCUGCCUGUUACAUCCAGAUCCAGCAGGAAACAUCUAUGUAGGAGCAGACAGGAAAACACCAUCUAACAGGAAUGAGCCAGGAGAGGCACAGUGCUUCACAAGAGCUGCCAGAUCAAAACCAGUCAAACCACCAGUUUUCUACUGGAGCCACUGGGGAGCUGCACCGAGUCUAAGGGGGGGGAGGGGAGAGCAUUACUCCUUCACCUUCACAGGGGAAACGAUGACUGACACCUCAUCUGCUGCUGAUGCUUUCAGUAUGUUACAGCUCAAGUUCUUUCUGUUUUAUGCAAGGAGCACAUCGCCCUCUUCUGGACAUGUCCGAAAACUGCAUUAUCAUCUUCAUAACAUCUGGCAUGAUGUAACUGUAGAUUUUCACUAAUACUUUAGCUUAGUUUCUAUUUCUGAGUUAAUAAUAACCACCAAAAGUGUUUAAUGGAAAUCACAGGGAUACUUUGUAACAAUAAUGCAGUUUUCAUUACUUGACAGUAUUUUUUUAUUUUGCAAUAUUGUUAUUUUACUGAGGGUACCGUAAUUCAUAGGAAUAUACAGUAAGAUCCCUGUGAGGUCUUCAUUGUACAGUCAUGGAAAAAAUUAGACCACCUUGUUUUCUUCAAGUUAUUGUUAAUUUUAAUGCCUGGUACAACUAAAGGUACAUUUUUUUGGAUAAAUAUAAUGAUAACAACAAA